ACGCCUGUUGCAGAAGAAACAGAUCUGGUAGAGCUUGUUUCCAGAAAACAUGGAACCAGGAGGAACUCCUCAGUAAAACACAGAAUUGAAGUUAAUCCAAAGGGAAAGCCUCCUUCUGCUCCAUGUGUUUGCUGAUGAGCGGCAGCAGCUGCUCCGGCUGCCGCUCUCCUCCUGCACACCAGUCCUCCUCCCUGCGGUACUCCUGCUCCAGACUCUCCAGGACGCCACACACCUGCAUCAGCGUCUGCCAGUGCAGCGCCACCGUCUGGGCGCAGGCCCUCACUGCAUCCGGGUCGUAAUGGCCUGACCUGUGCAGAAGCAGAGACUU
This is a long non-coding RNA of Xiphophorus maculatus (southern platyfish), 328 nucleotides long. RefSeq lists it as uncharacterized. The record is from RefSeq and is a predicted model, not a curated record. The transcript has 3 exons. Lineage: Eukaryota; Metazoa; Chordata; Actinopteri; Cyprinodontiformes; Poeciliidae.